AACGCACCUCUCCCUCCCACAAUAGCCAAUUCACGAAUUGCAUCUGAAGAUGAACUCCUUGAGAUUAAACUAAAAGAGCUCCCAUUGAACCUGCCACUCGUAAAUGCGAAAUCAGCGUACAUAACUGUAGUAAACACAGCAGGGUCUCGACUGGAUGAUACAUAGAGUCCUUGAGCGUUUCCAAUCAACGUUGAUGUUAGUGCAGGCCCUACGGUAAGGGGGUCAUUAAUUGCAAACAAUGUGCCAAACCCGAAUGAGGAUGGUUGCGUGAUGUUGGGACGGGCUAUGACGACUGCACUGGGGUUUUCACCACUGACGGUAUCAUGAAGGAAGAAGUGGAGUCGGGUCAUCUUUUUCGCCCGCUGAGUAGCUCGCAUAACAGUUUUCGAGUAGUAUUGGCCAUAGACUGGCACUAUGGCAAGGCAAAAUAACAUUGCCAAUGCAAAUAUAUUAUGUUCUUUCUUCAUUUUUCUUCUCAAUAUUUUUACCUCAAUUAUAUUUGGUUUUUUGCUUCUUUGUUGUAUACACCUCACAAACUGCUUUAUAUAGAAUUUGGGUUGGAUGUUUAUUCCAUAUUUUCAUACUAAACUAUUUUGUAAAGGCCUGAAAUUGAUAUUCCUCUCAUUUUCUUUCCAUAAAUUAGGUCAAAUGAAUUCUAGAAUAAACAAUAUGAUGAUGAUCAAUAACAAUGGGUGUUUCAACAUUGGCAUAAGAGUGACUGAUUAGUCAAAACAGAAUACAAAUCAAACUAAAAUCAUGUCAUAUUUCUUAAUAUUAUAUAUAUAUAUAUAUAUAUGCAUUUGUGAUAUAUGAUUUUAUACAUUGUAAAUGAAUAAGAGGACAAUAUAUUUCAAGAGCUUUUUAUAAAAAUAAGCUAAUAAAAAAAGAGAAAAUUAAACCUAAUUUACGAUAAUAUUUUUAAGUAAUGUGAUGUCACCCUAAUAUAUUUAAUAUAAACUCUCUCCAAAUUAGUUCCUUAUAAUGACUAUCAAUUAACCACUCAAAGGUGAAUAAACAAUAAAAUCCUUUCACAUAAAAGUUCCUUAGAAAGAACGUAUAUGCUCUCUCUAAAUUCAUAAAGCUCAAAUCACAUUUUUUUCAAAGUAAAAUGAGAUAAAAACUAUUUUAAUUCAAAAGCUUUCUCUUCAAGUUUUUCUCUAUGACUUUUCAAACACAAUUUCUCCAAUAUUUAUUUUCAAGGAUUUUAGAAAAUAAUUUUCAAAAUUCAAAAUUUAAAAUAUUUAUAAAAAUUUUAAAAUUUAUAUUUUUAAAAAAUUUAAAAAUUCUAAAAAAUAUAUAAAAAAUUUAAAAUUUUAGAAUUAUUCUAAAAUAAUAAUUUUGAGACCUAAAUAAAUUAAUUAAUUAUUUAAGUUUAUCAUACUAAAAUAAUACUCGUUUCUACUCAUCUUUACCCAAGCCUUUAUAUUAUCUGCAUGAUUUAUCUUCAUCUCUUACAUUUGGACUAGAACUCUUCAAAGCUUGCUAUGAAGAUAAAGAUAAGAUCUCUCCAAGUAUCAUACUAGAAAUAAAACUGUCAUAUUAAAGUCUUUCAAAUGUGUUGCGUCAAAUCAAUAUAUCAUGUUUUUACUGCUCAUAAUAAAGAUAAAUACAAAGUCAAAAAUUAUCAACCGAAAAUUUAAUUGAGACAUAAAUUGUGAUUUCAAAUAUGGUGAUAAUCAAAAGUAAAAUUUACUCCACGGCCUAAUUCCUAACAUAUAGGUUACUUUAAAAAUAACAAAUAAUGUUGAAUUAAAUUAAAUUAAUAUACUUACUAGUUUUAUUAAUUUUAUAAUGGAAAAUGGAGAACAAUGAUAUGUCUUUGGAUUUCAUAGUGAAGAACCGUAGAAAUUACCGUGCUUCGUAAAUAUUAAACAAGCAAUUUAUUUAUUAAAUUUUUCAGAGGCAACAAAUAAUCAGUACAAGAAAUUCUAACAACAUUUUCAAUUGUUUUAGAGCUUCUGUAAAUUUGAUUUAACCCAAUACUGUAUAAAUGACAUAUUUUUGAUUAUAUGAUUGAUGAUUAAAGAUUGUUUAGAGAAUUUUGAAUUGAUAUAGCAUGAUUCUUGAUGUGAGUUUUAAGUCCCAAUUUCAGACUCAAAAAUGUGAUGGGCUUCCACUACCUCAAGGCCCAACAACAAGAUCAAAUGCCAAGCAAAUCAAAGCAAGAUUCAAUCAAAGACAAUAUGUUGGAAUGAAUAUUUUUUAGGGAAUGAGGAAUGAUACAUGCAUAAAAUGGCUAAAUUUUUUUAAAUUCCAUUCAUAGAAGCUUCCAAUUUUUAAGUUUGGGGGAUCAGCAGACUUGCAAUGACUUUUUGGAUGGUAUUUAGACAUUUCUUGGUUAAGACAUAUUCAUGCUAUUCGAAAAUCUAUCUCUUAGCUUAAAAUGCACUUUGAAUUACUUGAUUUUGACUUCGAGAGCUCAAGUUAUGACCGUUUUAGUGAAGACUGUGUGAGUAGAAUUUUUGGACAGGAUUAUGAUGAGAAUUAUGAGUUUUGGGUCUUUAAUUCGAGUUUAAAUCAUAUUUGGUUUGGGUUUUAUGCUUAAUGUAACAUCCCGAAUUAGGGCCUAGUCGGAACAGUGGUUUCGGGACCAAAAAUCCAACACAAUAAAAUUUGUUUUUAUUAUAUUUUUAUGGUCUACAAUUUCAUGGGAUGAUUUUGUGAAAAUUUCGUUCGAAAAUUUUGACAUUUGGGCACUCAAUUUCGUCAAAAGGACUAAAUUGUAAAAAGUGUAAAAGUUGCAUUCUACAUGUUAGAGGUGUCUAAUUGUCAUGAAAUUUUAAAUUGGACGCCCUUAAGUGGUUAGAUCAAUGGAUAAUUUUUUGGACAAAAAUGGACAUAAAAGUGAAAUAGAAUAUUUUUAAGUUAGGGGCAUUUUGGUAAUCUAGUAAUUAAAAUGAAUUAAAAACAAAAUUAAAAGCCAAUUUUUGUCCAUCUUCUACCUCAUGGCCAAAACUAGUAUGAAGAAGACAUAGCUAUGGUUUUUCAAGCUUCCAAGCUCGAUUGUAAGUCCGUUCUAGCCCCGUUUUUAAUGAUUUUUACGUUUUUAAAAUCCUCAUAACAAGAUCUACUCAUUUCUACCCAUAUUUUGAGCUACGGUUUGUGUUUAAAAAUUGACCCAUGGAUGACAUGCAUGUGUUUUGAUGUCUAAUGGUAGAAUAUGAAUGCUCGGUGUGUAAUAAACGAGUUUUACUAAGUGAUUUUCGGUGAAAUUGUCAAAAAGGACUGUUUUGUAAAUGUUACAAAAUUUGUCAUAAAGUUGUGAUUUAUUGGAAAUUAUGGGCUGCUACAGUUAUGAAAAUUAUUCAGCUAGACAUAAAAUGCAAGGAAAUUGAAUAAAAAUCAUGUUACGAGCCUAGGAGCCAAAGUGCAAAUAUGUAAAAAUUUAGGGGUCAAAAUAAAAAUUUGUAAAAGUAUGAUUUUUGGACCCAUAUGAAUAAUGUGACUAAUUAGUAAGCUAAAUAUGGUAUUAUAGAUCAAGGAAAAUGAGGUUCGGGCAUAGAUUGGAAAUGAAUGAGAUUAUGGACUAAAUCAAAAUAUAUAGUUGUACUCGAACCGAGGUAACUUCAUGUGAUUUUAAUAAUGCAAUAUUGUAUUUGAAUGCUAAUGCUUCGAUAUUAAAUGAGUUGUAAGUAUAUAUAUGUGAAUAAUUUGAUAUUAUGUGAUUAUUUUGAUGAUAUAACAUGUUCUUGAUGUUUUGCUAUUAUGAUGAAAAUGUUGCAGUGCCAUGUGAUUGUGAGAUAUUGCUAUGUGAAUGAAUCCACAAUUCGAGUACGUCUGAUAAAGGUUUAGAAGUUUGAUGGAAUAUGAUGUUUCUUUGAAAUGAGUAAGUUUGUAUGUAAAUAAUAUUUCGAUUCUUUUUAUGUUAUUAUCUUUUGUUAUUAUAUGAGAUGUGAUUGCCUAUAGAAUGAUCAAUUGAUGUAAACUACAAAUCGAAAUUGACUAAGAACGAGUUAGUAAAAUGUUGAAAAGUGAAGAAUUUCCCGAUUGAACCUUCGGAAUAGAAGAGAUACAAAUGAUUUGUUGUGAGUCAUGUGUGUAGUACUAAGUGCAGGCUACUAUGCGUACCCGUUAACUUUGAUCACGUGUGUAGUACUAAGUGUAGGCUACUACGUGUAUCAAAUGGUUAAGUCACGUGUGUAGUACUAAGUGCAGGCAACUACGCGUACCAGAGAGCUUCGGUUACAAGGGUGGUAUAUGCACAGGCCACUGGGUAUCUGUUAUUAUUCUGAUGAGUUCAACGAGAAAUUUACUAAGUGAAAAUACAUAUGUACAUAACUAUGUGAUGAAUAAGUGCAAGUAUAUCAAUGUGAAAAGUUUUGAGCAAUGUGCUCGAUAGUUGAGCGAAUCUUUUAGCAAGAUAGAAUGGAGUAAGUGAAAUUAUGUAAAAGUGAAAUUUUGUAAUAAAACAAAUUUGGAAAGCAGCAGUUGUGUGACUUUGAAAAAAUUACCAAAAAUGGUAUAAAUUGAAUUAGAGGUUGAAUUAUAUUAAAUUAAAUCUUAAUGAGUCUAUUUUCUCAUAAAAGAAACGAUGAAGGAAAAAGAAUUUCAUAUUCUGUGAUAAUUGGAUUUUUGUUAGACAGGGUCAGAAUGAUUUUGGAAUCCAUUAUUCUGAUUUUGGAAAAUCAUUGAAAAUUAUAAAAAAAUAAUUGUAGCGACGUAAAAAUUUCUUCUUUUGGUCACUAAUUGAGGCGAUUUAUUGGAAAUUUAAAAACCUACUUUUGAUUUUAUUAAAAAAGGGAGUCGCCACCGAUCCUUUUUCCUAGGUGUGAUCGGGCACCUAAUAAAUCCUCUUUUUCAAAAGAAAAUUUAUUUUUAAACAAAAAGAAGGCCGAGUUUAGGUCUACGUUUAAAGCCAGAGAAAAAAAUAGGGUUCGGGAGUCGGUUACACACGAGGAAGGUAUUAGCACCCUCGCGACGUCCAAAAUUGGUAUCUUAUUAAACUUGUGUUGUCUUGAUUUUCAAAAGUACAAAUUCAAUCUGACAUUUACUCGUGAUCCAAUUGAAAAAUGAGAAUUUUUAGUUUUUGAUUCUUUAGAAAGGGUGUCCCGUUUUUAACAUGAGCCGAUGAAUUUCACCCAACAUAACGAUGAAAUUGAUGGCUUAAUGUUAAAUCGGUACAUUGCCUUAUUUUUGAAAUUAAUUAAAACAUGAGAAAAAAAUAUUCCUAAAGUGAGAAAUUAAAAAUAGAUAAACGAUACAAAAAAAGAUAUCAUUAAUGAAAAAUAUUAACAUGGAAUACUAGAAUAUUAGAAUAACAAUAAUAACGAUAUUUACAAACAAAAAAAAAUAAAAACAAAUCAUGUACUAAUAAUAAAAUAGGAAAAAAUGAUAUAUUUGGUAAUAAUAAUAUAAAAUAAUAAUAUGUACAUAAAAAUACAUAUAUAUAUAUAUAUGCAUAUAAUAAAUAUAUAUAAUAAUAAUAAUAUCUACAAUAAAAGAAAAUAUUAGGAAACGUACACAAAAAUAUAUACAUAAAUUUUUUUUACAACAAUAAUAUAAAAUAAUGAUAUGUACAAAAUAUAUAUAUAUAUGUACAUAAUAUAGUUAUAAAAAUAUAUAUAUUAAAUUCGGAAUAGGUAAAUAAUAAUAAAAAGGGUAAGAAUAUACCGAAGCCCCAAUGUUAUGGAUUACUGAAAUUAAUCUCUUUUCUUCUCGGGCUGUUGAAAUGGGCCUUUGUUGGUGAUCUUCACUGGAUCAGAUUGCCGCAAAUAGAGUCAGGUUGACCCGACCAUUUUAAAAUUUAAAAUUUUUUAUUAUUGUAGUUUUUUUAGACCAAUUUUUGUUUAGCCCAAUUACAAAUAUAAUCUACAUAAAAGAUACAAAAUCCAAAUUACUUCAACCCAACACAAACCAACCUCAGCCCACUAACUUAAUAAUCCAACACAACCAACGCAACCCACUAACUUAACAUAUCACCCAACCCACUAAUUAACCCAAACUAAAUUUAACCCAUCAAACCUUACAUAAACCAACCCAUUAACUAAAAUAUUUCUUUUUUUUUAAUACUAAACCCCCCCAAAACAAACAAGUUCCAGCAGCAAACAAAGAAAAUCCAAACUUCAAGCUGUCUAUUCUCCCUCUCCUUCCACCGUGCGCGUCACCAGAAGCCACCGUAUGCACCACAUGAAAUCAGGCUACGGGUAGUUGAGGUUUGGGUUUUGGGGUGGCUGAUAAUCGAUUGGCUCGGGUAUUUAGAGUGGGUUUCGGUUUGGGAGCUUGGUUGUGGUGUUAAUGGUGAUUAGUCCUUAGUUGCUUGGUUGCUUGCUGGAUAUUGGAGUUUUUUCUUGCUUAGAUUGCUGAAUGUUCCUUUUUUAUUGUUUUUUUUUUCUGGAAAAUUUUUUUGUUGAAAUUUUUUUUUUGCUCUUUUUUCUCAAAUGGGAGAAUCCUCCUCUUUUUUGUGUGGUUUUUUUUUUAAUUUCUCCCAUUUUGCUUGUUUUUAUGCUAUUUGCAGAUAGUGGGUGAAGAAGGAGCAGGCACCCAUGUUUGUGGCCUGAAAAUCUGGGAAGUGGGUACCCCAAAUCACGUAAUUUGUCUGAAGGACCAAAUCACAAAUACAGCAAAACUUAUGGGGCUAAAUGUAAUUUUUAGAAAAUUUAGGGUUAAAAUGCAAUUUAAGGAAAGUUUAGGGGUUUAAGUGAAAUUUAAAGAAAGUUUAAGGGUCAAAAUGAAAUUUAAGAAAAGUUUAGGGGUAAAAAUGUAAUUUUUAUUUUUUGAAAUUUUUUUAUUUUUAUUUUUUUGAAAUUUUGAAAAUUAAACAACAAACUCUUGUCGGACAAAAAUUUAGUGUUUACAGUUGCCCCUCUUUGCUCAUCUCUGUGAAACAGGGAUAGUGCAAAAACUUAAAAGCACUAAAUUUUGUUCGAUUGUCCAAUCUUCAUUCUUUAUUGAAAAACAAAAAAAAUUGAAAAUAGCUCGGGAUGCGACCUGAAGUUCAACUCACCUCUCGAAUUAUGAGUUGAUCUUUUGAAAAAGCAAAAAAUUGAAAAUACCUCAGCGUGAGCUGAGGCUUAACUCACCUCUCGCAAUAUGAGUUGAUUUUUUUGAAAGACAGAAAUUGAAAAUACCUCAAUGUGUCUUGAGGCUCAACUCAUUUCUCGCAAUAUGAGUUGACUUUUAAAAAAAAAAAUAGGAAUUGAAAUUACCUCAGCGUGUCCCGAGGCUCAACUCACCUCUCGUAAUAUGAAUUGAUUUUUGAAAAACAUAAAUUGAAAAACGGAAAUCGAAAAUACCUCAACGUGUCUUGAGGCUCAAUUCACCUCUCGCAAUAUGAGUUGAUUUUUGAAAAAUAUAGAUUGGAAAAAACAGAAAUUGAAAAUACCUCAGCGUGUCCUAAGACUCAACUCACCUCUCGCAAUAUGAGUUGAUUUAAAAACAGUCAUUAAGAACAGAAAUUAAAAAUACCUCAGUGUGUCCUGAGGCUCAACUCACCUCUCGCAAUAUGAAUUGAUUUUUGCAAAAUAUAAAUUGCAAAACAUAAAUUGCAAAACAUAAUACAUGCAAAAAUUAUACAACAAUAUAUAUCAUAAAAUAGCAUAUAAAAGAAAUAAUUAAACAUAGCAUAUAAAAAAAAUGAAACUAUGCACAAAUAAGAUAGAUGACAUACACUAAAAAAUGAAUAAAUAGAACAUUUACAAAUUAUAAAAAUAUAAUGCAAUAGUUCAAAAUACAUGAAAUGAUAAUAUAAUAUAUAUACAUGCAUAGAAAAUAUAUAUUUGAAAAUAAACUAUAUAAAAAGGUUAAAUAUUAUAAUAUAUAAAAUACAUAAUCAAAUGUAUAAAAGAUAGGAAUAAAUAUACAUAUUUGAAAAAUGAAGAAAUUAAAAUAAAAAAAGGGUUGAAAAACUAAGAUAGACGAAAAAUAAAAUAAGAACAAACCACAGAGAGUAAGAACGUAAGAGGGAGAGAAAUUUAAGUGAAUGCUCUCAAGAAUUCUUAUUGCUUCCCAAAACUCAAGUGAUUUACAAUGAAGGGAGAGACCUCUAUUUAUAGUUGAGCCUCCCAAAAUCCAACGGUACAGAUCAAUUACAUCAACGGUUAAGAUUAAAGGAUAUCUACAAAUUAAAUCUCCAAGAUUACAAGAUCAUAUCCUCAAGAUUGCAUAUCAUAUCUAAGAUUGUAUCAUAUCUAAUAUUGCAUAUCAUAUCUAAGAUUGCAUAUCCUUAAAGAUUAUAUUUCUAUAUGAGUCAAGCUCAUAGAUGGACCUUCAAUCUUUUCAAGUAAUGGGUCAUUUUGAUUGGGCCAAAUUAUAUGUUUGUAAUUUUGUACUGGACUUGGACUUUGUUUUUUUUUUGAACUUAUUUCUGGGCCCGGGCAAAAUUGAGUGUCUACAGCUGCCCGUCUUUACUCAUUGCUGUGUAGCAGGGAUAGAGCAAAGACUAUAAAAGGACCAAUUUUGCCCGGGCUCACCGAGUCUUGAGUUCUUGAUCCUUGAUCUUCUUUAAAUGGCCUCUUAACGGCUUCAAUCUGCUUCACUGCAACUCAGGAAGGCGAUAUCUGCUAUCUUUGAUCUGCUCCUCAUCUAAUACAGAGAAGCCAAAUCUGUUAUCUUCGAUCUGUUUUCUGACAAUAUAGAGAGCCAAAUCAUCUUAGAUCUGCUUCAGCGUAAACACGUAAAAGCCAAAUCUGAUGGAGGAAAGAAAAAUAAAAGGGUUAAAGAGUAAGAUUUGACGUGAAACAUUUUAUUAUAUAAACAACAUGUUAGAGUAGUAAAAGACAAAUCAAUAAGUUUUUAUUAUAUAGGCAAGGACCAAGCCAGGAAUUUGAUAUGGGUAACAAAUAAAAUUAUAAAAUUUUUAAGGUUAAAGGUAAAAAUUAUGUUUAUAAUUGGUUUAUAUUAAAUGUUCGAUAAAAGAAAGGGAUUAGAUUUGACAAUAGCCGAUUUAAUUAAGGGUAGUUCAUUUUAAGUCAUAAUGUUGAAUUUAGCUAUCAACAUCUACAUUUUGUUUUUAUCAAUUUGGCUCUAAUUCCGUUUUAAAUUAAAUUUGACCAUUAAUAUUACAAAAAAAGUCAAAUUACUUUUUUUUAACGGAAAUGCUGACUAGAACAUUAAUUUUAUAAUGAUGUUGGUGUGGUAACUCACGUGGUACUCCAUAUAUAUUUCAUACUGACAUGUCAUUAUUUUUUUUAUAUGUCAUAUCAAUAAAUAAUUUUAAAUUAUAAAAAUAUUUAAAAAAUAAAAAAAUUCAAAAAAAUAUAAAAUAUAAAAAAGUCAUAAAAAUUCAAAAAAAUUAAAAUACAUAUGAAUUAUCAUACAUGGGUGAUGUUUAAAAAUUUAGUGUUUUAAUUGAUAUUUUUAUUAAAAAAUAACAAUUUAACUAUUUUUUAAAAUUUUAAAAUUAAGUUAAAUUUAUUUUAAAAUUGAAAGUGAAAUUUAACUUAAAAAACACAAAACAAAUUAACAACAAAAAGAUUUGACGACUGUAAUUUAUAAUGACCGUAGACUUGAGUAGCCCCACAUGCACGAAAGCUUUCUGAAUCAUGAUUACUUGUAUUUAUUUCUAUAUGUUUUCUAGUACAUUAAACUAUUUAUAUAAUUAUUAUAUAUAAUUUCUGUAAUAUAUUUUCUUUAGUUAUAAUAAUUUAUUUCUAUAUCAUAAUUUGGUGGUUCGAGGGAAUGACGUAAAUUUCUUUUUGAUAUCGAAUUUGAGUUAUAAAUUCUUGUUAUAUCGUUCUAUUUUUUAAAUACAUGGCAUCUCGAGAAAUUAUUUGACGAAAGACCAAUGGAUGGUUCUCCAUUCCAUAUCACUAGGCUGGUCAUUAAGUAACCAGCCACCUGUGUACUCCGCUUGUUAUUAGGUCAUUCGCUUCUAGGGACCACUGAAGCAUAACAAUCUCAUAUUACUUAUGUUAGAGCAGUAUCACACUUGGUUGACUACACGAGAUGGUUACCACUUGUACUGUCGAUGAAGUAGCGCCACCAAGCAAGAGACCCUUCCCCUGUAAAUACCUUGAAGAACAAUGAAGAAGGGAAUUUUGACCACACGAGAUGGUCUCCUUUGCCUUCACAACCACCGUACUCCUUUUCCACUCCUCUCCUGUUUUGGCUCUCUACUUAUUUAGGUGAACUGACCUUUUUGUCCCCACCACCUUCUGCUCUUUAUUGUAUCAAGAAUUCUUAAAAGAGUUAAUAUGUGAUUUUACCAUUGUAUUAAUAUAAAAUUUUACAAAUUUUUGAUGGAUUAAACUAUUAACUUUUCAUUCUUGAAGGGGUAGAAUUGAAUUUUAAAUUUUAAAAGAAUCAAAAUAAAAUUUUACCGUUCAAUCAAUUUAAAAUUUUAUAAAUUUUUAAGAGAUCGAGAAAACAAUUUUCCAUUUUGAAAGGAGGCAAAGGCACUUGUUGGUCACAAAGAUCAAGAUUUAACCGCUCAAGUGAUAAAACAAGAAUCAAGGUGUUGCCCCCAAAAUGAUACAAUUGCAAUUAGAUCCCUUCAAAAAUUAAUUUUAAAAAUUAAUAUAAUAGUAAAAUAAAAAUGGGUAACUCCCUAUCUAACAAUAAAAUUAUUUGACUACGUAGUUUAUUAAAGAGUGCAACAUGAAACGAUUUUCACUUUUGUAUUCGAGUCCUGAGUGGCACAAUUUUCACCAGCUACUUCAAAACCUUUUAUAUAUUUUGAUUCAAGACGGUUAUUUCCUUAUAAGACUUUUGACAGGUAUAAAUAAAUAUCAUAUAAUAUAAACACAAAAAAAAAAGUUUGGAAAAAACAAGAUAAUUAAUAUAAUUAAUAUUCGAUCACUAGCUUUAUUCCCCCAGUAAUUCUUCACGGAAUUGAAUUACAACAAUUAUUGAGGUCCAUUUUUUUGGAUUGAAAUUUGUAUUCUACUAUUGAUCUGGUUUAGUAAUGGUACAAAGUAACAUUGUACUCGAGAAUAACAUCCCCUGUCGUCAAAUUUGCAAAAUUGAUUUGAGUUAGGGCAAAUCCUUGGGCCAUUCUAAACGCACCUCUCCCUCCUACAAUAGCCAAUUCACGAAUUGCAUCUGAAGAUGAACUCCUUGAGAUUAAACUAAAAGAGCUCCCAUUGAACCUACCACUCGUAAAUGCGAAAUCAGCGUACAUAACUGAAAUAAACACGGCAGGGUCUCGACUGGACGAUACAUAGAGUCCUUGAGCGUUUCCAAUCAACAUUGAUGUUGGUUCAGGCCCUACAGUAAGAGGGUCAUUAAUUGCAAACAAUGUGCCAAACCCGAAUGGGGAUGCUUGUGUGAUGUUGGGACGGGCUAUGACGACUGCACUGGGGUUUUCACCACUGACGGUAUCAUGAAGGAAGAAGUGGAGUCGGGUCAUCUUUUCUGCCCGCUGAGCAACUCGUGUAAUAGUUCUUGAGUAGUAUUGGCCAUAGACUGGCGCUAUAGUAAGGCAAAAUAUCAUUGCCAGUGCAAGUAUAUUGUGUUCCUUCUCCAUUUUUCUUCUCAAUAUUUUUACCUCAAUUAUAUUUGGGUUUUUGCUUCUUUGUUGUAUACACCUCACAAACUCCUUUAUAUAGAAUUUGGGUUGGAUGUUUAUUCCAUCUUUUCAUACUAGACUAUUUUGUGAAGGCUGAAAUUGAUAUUCCUCUCAUUUUCUUUCCAUAAAUUAGGUCAAAUGAAUUCUAGAAUAAACAAUAUGAUAAUGAUCAAAGAUAUAACAAUGGGUGUUUCGACAUUGGCAUAAAAGUGACUGAUUAGUCAAAACAGAAUACAAAUCAAACUAAAAUAAUGUCAUAUUUAUUAAUUAUAUAUAUAUGCAUUUGUGAUAUAUAAUUUUAUACAUUGUAAGUAACUUUUUUUUUUCUCAGUCAAAUGAUUACAAUAAAAAAAGCUGGGAACACCCGACCCAUACCAGAUCAAAUAAGAAAAAACAGCAGCCAAUCAAGCCAAAAUUGAACGCAACAAUAGAAUCAAAACAAAGUUACCAAUAAGCUCCAAAUCUGCUUUAGCCAAAUCAACCGUUAUUCCAAUUUUACCAUGAUAAGUGACAUCAAAUUGACACUCAUCCUCUUGCCACAAGUAAGUAAAUAAGAGGACAACAUAUUUCAAGAGCUUUUUAUAAAAAUAAACUAAUAAAGAAAAGAGAUAAAAUUAAACCUAAUUUACCAUAAUCUUUUAGGAAAUGUGAUGUAACCCUAAUAUAUUUAAUAUGAGCUCUCUCCAAACUACGUUCUUUAUAAAUAACUAUCAAUUAACCGCUCAAAGGUGAAUAAACAAUAAAAUUAUUUCACAGAAAAGUUCCUUAGAAUGAACGUAUUCAUAAAACUUAAAUCACAUUUUUUUCUAAGUAAAAUGAGAUAAAAAAAAUUUAAAUUCAAAAACUUUCUCUUCAAGUUUUUCUCCAUGACUUUUCAAACACAAUAUCUCCAAUAUUUAUUUUCAACGAUUUUCCAAAAUGACUUUCAAAAUUUAAAAUAUUUAUAAAAAUUCCAAACUUUAUAUUUUUAAAAAAUUUAAAAAAUUUAAAAAAUAUAUAAAGAAAAUUAAAAUUUUGAAAUUAUUCUAAAAUAAUAAUUUUGGAAGCUAAAUAAGAUAAUUAAUUAUUCAAGUUUAUGAUACUAAAGUAUCGUAUUUUUUAUUAUUUUGAUUUGAAAUUUUUUUUCUAACAUAUAUGAUUUCAAAAUUUUGUGUUCUAACAUGAAAUUAGUUAUACCAUAACAAGAUUUUAAUUUGACAUAUUUAAUUUUUUAAUUUAUCUCAAACAAUUUCAAUCGAUUCGACUCGAACACUCACCCCUAUCCCAGCCUUUAUAUUAUCUCCAUGUUUUAUCUUAAUGUCUUACAUUUAGACUAGGACUCUUCAAAGCUAGAUAAAGCUCUUCAAGUAUCAUACUCAAAAUAAAACUGUCAUAUUAAAGUCUUAUUAUGUUUUUACUGCUUAUAAUAAAAAUAAAUACUAAGUCAAAAAUUAUCAACCGAAGAUUUAAUUGGGACAUAAGUUGUGAUUUUAAAUAUGGUCACAAUCGAAAGUAAAAUUUACUCUAUAACUUGAUUCCUAACACAGAGAUUAUUUUAAAAAUAACAAAUAAUUUUGAAUUAAAUUAAAUUAACAUACUUACUAGUUUAAUUAAUUUUAUAAUGGAAAAUGGAGAACAAUGAUAUGUUUUUGGAUUUCAUAGUGAAAAAUCGUAGAAAUAACCGUGGUUGGUAAAUAUUAAACAAGCAAUUUAUUUAUUAAAUUUUUCAGAGGCAACAAAUAAUAAGUACAAGAAAUUCUAACAAGAUUUCCAACUUUAAACUUUUCUUUUGAAAUAAGUAAUAAAAAAUAAAUUAAAUUGAAAUACUGGUGUCAAUAUUCAGAUACUUUGUUGACCAUCCAGUUCAAUUUUCCGCCAUCCCAGGUGGGCUGCUGUCGUGGUAGCCAUGACCGCAGUCUUUGCCCCUACUUUUGUUGCAAAUGGUUCCUUCACUGUGACAACAGCCCCCUCGUGUCCAAGGCCUAAUGCCAUGAUUAUUUGUAUUUAUUUAUAACAACUUUUUGUUACAUUCAUUAACCUAUCUAUAUAAUUAUAAAUAAAAAAUUUAUUCCAUACAUUUUGAAAGUUAUAAACAUUCGAUGUUAUUUUGAAGAGAAUAAUAUGAAACUAUUCUCGCUUUUUUCAUUGAGUUUUGAGUUCCAAAAUUUUCGGAAAGGAUAAAUAAAAGUUAAAUAUAUAUACUAACAGUACAAGAGUUUGGAAAAACAUGAUAAAUAGUAUAAUUGAUAUCGGAUCACCAGCUUUACUCCCUUCGCGGGAUGAAUUCGGGAUGAAUUACAACAAUUAUUAAUAUUUAUUUUUUAGUCUUAUUAUUAGAUUUUUGUAUUAGGCAAUCAAUCUGAUUCCGUAAUGGUACAAAGUAACAUUGCAUUCGAGAAUAACAUCCCUUGUCGUCAUUUUUAUAAAAUUGAGCUGAGUUAGAGCAAACCCUCUUGCCAACCUAAACACACCUCUCCUCUAAUUUCUUGAACCUAGCCUAGACGUUGGGCUAGAUUGAUAAAAUUACAUGAGUCACCGAAAUGGUUAAGUUAACUUAUGUUACCUUUGAAGACUUUAAAUAAACUCAUUUUAAAGAAAAACCGUAGUUAUACUUUUGUGUUAGUUUAAAACAUUCAUUUAUUAGGUCAACUGCACUUAAGAUUCAUUUUAUUAUUGAUAGUAUUAUUUUAGAAAAACUGUUUGUUUGCCGCUUAUCUUUGUAAAAACUCGAUGUUAAACUAAUGCAACAGAAAAUACAAAUUUUCAAGUCAUUUUUGGAAACCUAGCUACCUUAUAGAUUUGUUCUUUGUAAAUAACUCCUUUGCAAUGUAGCGGAAACUAGGGAACAAUGUCAAAUUUUACUUAAGUUCGAUAUCAUGCAUUUUCUGGUUAUUAUGUUUAAGUAUUCCAUACAUGCAAAAAUCCCCAAAUGAAAAGUUACUAAGCCACAGACCAGAAAUAAUUAAAAAUUACAAACUAAAACCAAUAUAGACUAAAUAAUACUUAUUAAAAAUAGUCCAAGGUCCAAGAUGAUUCUCCGUACGCUGAGUUUGAUUCUAAUUUCAAGGUUAAAUUUAAACACUAUGAGGGGUGAGCUUACGAAAGCUCAAUGUGAGUUGAACAAUUAUUUAAACGGGCAUAAAUAUUAAAUAUAGUGAAACAUGUUAGCAUUAACAGAAGAACACAUAACCAUCAUUGGAAUUACAUACCAUUACAUAGUCAUUAUCAAAUCGAUGUUAAAUGGUAUAUGGGCAUGGGUCAUCAUUCAUUUGAAUAACAAUCAUUAAGUUUAAUACCAUUCAAUACAACACAAUACAAUACAUAGCAUAAAUCAAUAACAUUUGAGUAUGUCGUGACCAUGAUGCAAUGCAAAAAGGUUCCUAGCCAAACCAUCCACUACACACCACGAGUUCCCUAGAACCCGUCUGCUAAACUCCAACGAAUGUGAGCAUAGCUCGAUGUAGUAAAACCACUUAAUAACAAUAAUGCAGUAAAACUACCAAAUAAAAAAUAAUGUGAUAUAAUCAUCCAUCCCCUCGGUACUCCAAAUACAGUGCACUAACUAUGAAUAAAUGCAAACUUAAUAUGCCGCCGAUACUUCACGGAGCUUUUCCGUCAACCACAAAAUAUUCCAUCCCAAUGCACAUGCAAUAUGUCAUACAAUCUUAUACAUAGCCAUAAUUUAAUACUUUUCACAUUUAAUUGACAUGUUCAACAUGCCAACCAUAAUCAAAUACUUUCAGUGAAUGGAACCAAUAUUCCAACUUUCAAUUUACCAUUAAGAUGGUAUCAUUCAACAUUACACUAUUUCACAUACUUUUACAAAUUUCCAUUGUGCAUGUAUAGCAACUUUUCCAUUAUAACAUAGCAAAUUUUUCAUGCAGUUAUAUCAUGCAUAAACUCAUAUUUCAGCAAAUCAAGCUAUACAUACAACCAAUCUCAUACCAAAUAACACAAUCGUGCAUCACAAUAUCAAUCACAUAAUCACACUGUCAAACUAGCAAAUUUGAUAACACAUUAAUCUUUUAGGGCUCAAAAUGUACCUGAUUCAGCUAUUUACAAAAUUAAUUAUUUGGCUAUUAAGCCAACCCAAUCAGCAAGCUAAAUCAUCAAAUAUAAUAUGGUAAUUAUCAUUAUCAAACAAGUUUAUGAGUUUAGGACCCACACCUUAUUUUACGCUUUUUCGCAGCACACUAGCGAAUCUUCCGAUUUCUUUAAUAAACCUUAAAAUGAACCUAAAUUAAAAAUCAAUAUAAAUUCAAUUAAUUCACCUCUUAAACAGUCCCCUAAACACUCACUUAUGGGUUCAAACCAAUCAUCACAAUUACUAUUAUUUUACGAAUCCAAACUAGUUCGAUUUCUUACACUGUUUUGAUGCAAAUUGUACGCGUGAAUGUCUUUUGGCUUUACGGUUUAUUUGGGGCGUUUGAGUCAGCACCUAACACAUUUACAUAUUGGAAAAUCAGUAACCAAUAUUGAUUAAAAUCCUUCAUUUAAUCAAUAUAUAACCUUUACCCAAUAACUAUGUCGAAACAACAAACUAGUUUGCAUUUAAUCGCAUUUACACUUCCCCAUUUAUGAGAUCCGAAUGGCCAAUUGAUCAAGAACGUUUUUCCCUAAUUGAUAUGUAAUUAAAGGCUAACUAGGAAGCCCCCUUUCUUGCAGUUAGGCACAUGCACCACCACCCAUGGUAGCCAAAAUUAGGGUUGAUUCAAGAGCGAUUUUGAAAUCCUUUUAAAAGUUGGAAAAAUAACUUUGAAAUCUUUAAAAUUCUCCCAAAUUCCAGAUCUAGAAAUUUAGGUUUUUAAUUGACAAGAUUAAUUCAAAAUUGUAGAAAAAGGAGAUCUUACACAAGCUAGUUGAGAGAGACGGCAAUAGCUCUUUCUUGGCAAUGCUUGAAAUUGAUCUAGGAGUUUAAGAUUUCAGAUUUGGGGCUGAUUUAAUUGAGGAAAAAUGAUAGCAAUAUGGUAAAGGAUAUGAUGCACAAUCUUGAGGAAAAAAAUAAAAAGUAAGAGAUGAUAAAACUAGGUGUUAUGGUUGACAACAACAAUGGAAGAAGAAAGAAAAAUUAAAGAUCAAGGAAGAUAGGGGAGGGGAGGAAUGGCUAGGGUCAAGAAAAAUAGAAAAAAAAAAGCUGAUCAUUCAGUGUAAAAUUAACAUUUAUACCUAGGUUAAAAGGGCAUGGAUGGCACAUACAUUAAUUAAACAUAUAACACAUAAUAAUAAUUUAAGAUAUAACUAAUAUAAUUUUUCACAUUUAAAUAAAUCUAUAAAUAAUGAAUUAACCAUUAUACGAACUUACCUCGACAAAAGCAAUUGUAAAAACAAUUGUAAAUAAUAAUGGACUCAGGCCUUUUCCAUAGGGGCUGUUACCACUCUUAAAGAAGGUAUUUGCAACAAAAUUAAGCAGUGGCAAAGGUUGUGGUCAUGGCUAAAUUUAUCAGUUAAGUUAAUUCUCAAAGUUGAUUCAUUUCUCUUCUUUUUUGUGCUUUUUCAAUUUUUCUCUCAAAUUUCAUUGAAAUUAAUUUUCAUAAUAUUUAUUUCAAAAGAAAUAAAAUCAUAGUACUGAUAAAUUACAAAAUAUGAGUACAGAACUUUAUUUUAAGCCGUUACUCAAUGUUUAAAAGAUAAACUAUUUAUAUACAAAUAUAUAUUUAAUUUUAAAUCUAAAAAUAUAUAGAUUAACGAUUAAAGAGUUGUUACUUAAUUUAAAAAUAAUUAUACGUUUAAAAAAUCAAAAACUAUUUAUAAAAUAGCAUUACAUUAAAACAAUAAAAAAAAUCAAACUAUGAAAACGUUAUCAUCAUGGUCAUCUCAUUUGGAAAAAAAAAAAUCAAGCAUGAGGACUUUGAUAUUUGAAAUUAAAGGUUACUUCAAAUUUAUCCAAUGUGUCGGUCAAGAUAAUAACUAAGGUGCUAUAGGGUGGCUUAAGUCUUAACAUCGAAAAUUUUCUAGUCUUUUAUAUGGUCUGUUUGAAAAAUAUGUGAUGGAGGAAAGAAAAAUAAAAGGGUUAAAGAGUAAGAUUUGACGUGAAACAUUUUAUUAUAUAAACAACAUGUUAGAGUAGUAAAAGACAAAUCAAUAAGUUUUUAUUAUAUAGGCCAGGACCAAGCCAGGAAUUUGAUAUGGGUAACAAAUAAAAUUAUAAAAUUUUUAGGGUUAAAGGUAAAAAUUAUGUUUAUAAUUGGUUUAUAUUAAAUGUUCGAUAAAAGAAAGGGAUUAGAUUUGACAAUAGCCGAUUUAAUCAAGGGUAGUUCAUUUUAAGUCAUAAUGUUGAAUUUAGCUAUCAACAUCUACAUUUUGUUUUUAUCAAUUUGGCUCUAAUUCCUUUUUAAAUUAAAUUUGACCAUUAAUAUUACAAAAAAAGUCAAAUUACUUUUUUUUUAACGGAAAUGCUGACUAGAACAUUAAUUUUAUAAUGAUGUUGGUGUGGUAACUCACGUGGUACUCCAUAUAUACUUUAUACCGACAUGUCAUUAUUUGUCUUCUAUGUCAUAUCAAUAAAUAAUUUUAAAUUAUAAAAAUAUUUAAAAAAUAAAAAAAUUCAAAAAUAUAAAAAAUAUAAAAAAGUCAUAAAAAUUCAAAAAAAUUAAAAUACAUAUGAAUUAUCAUGCAUGGGUGAUGUUUAAAAAUUUAGUGUUUUAAUUGAUAUUUUCAUUAAAAAAUAACAAUUUAACUAUUUUUAAAAUUUUAAAAUUAAAUUAAAUUUAUUUUAAGAUUGAAAGUGAAAUUUAACUUAAAAAACACAACACAAAUUAACAACAAAAAGAUUCGACGACUGUAAUUUAUAAUGACCGUAGCCUUGAGUAGCCCCACAUGCACAAAAGCUUUCUGAAUCCAUGAUUACUUGUAUUUAUUUCUAUAAGUUUUCUAGUACAUUAAACUAUUUAUAUAAUUAUUAAUAUAAUUUCUCUAAUAUAUUUUCUUUAGUUAUAAUAAUUUAUUUCUAUAUCAUAAUUUGGUGGUUCGAGGGAAUGAUGUAAAUUUCUUUUUGAUAUAUGUCGAAACCAUUUUUAAAUCGAGUUUUAGAAAAUGAGAAUCGACUUUAAGAAAAACGAAAACGGGAGUCGCCACCAAUUUUUUUAGGUGUGAUUGGAUCACCUUAUAAAAUGUUUUGUUUUAAAACAUUAAUUUUGGUCUACGAAAGUCAAGAAAACGGAUUCGGGAGUCGGUUAAGUACGAGGAAGGGUUAGCACCCUCGUAACGCCCAAAAAUUGGUACCUAAUUGAUUAUCAAGUGUCUUUAAUGUCGAAAAUUUGAAAGUUUUAAGAUGCAAACCUCUUUUAAUUAGAAUGUCUCAAUUUUGAAAAUUAAGGCUCACUUAUUUUAAACGAGUCAAAAUAUCACAUCUAGUAAGUUAGGACGCAACAUUUUAAAACCUUCGAAACUAAGCUCGUCUUUCGAAAAUUUCUAUCUCGAAACAACAAAACGCCAUAUCCAGUAAGUUAGGACACUAUGUUUUGAAAUCUCGAAAUAAUUGUCUAAGUUUUGAAAACUCAAAAUCAGUUAGAAAGGUGCUUGACUAUUUGAAUUCAACGAGAAAAGUCGCAACCCAAUAAGUUAGGGCACUACCUUUCUCGAAGUUUUCAAACAUCAAGCAUUGCCUUUUAAAAAAAAAACAUUGAAAUAUUAUUUUAAAUGACGUUUUAGGAUGACAUAUUAAUGCAUCAUGGAGCAUAGAUGUACAAAAUAUUCUAACAUUUCCAUACAAACAUAAAUAAUAUCAUUAAGACAAAACUAAAUAACAUGAACAAACGUUUAAUGAAAAAAAAUCAUACUAGGGUAAAUAUAAGAUAAUAAACAAAUAAAAAUAUGAGUAAACUAAAAGAAAAACAUAAUACAUGCAAAAAUUAUACAACAAUAUAUAUCAUAAAAUAGCAUAUAAAAGAAAUAAUUAAACAUAGCAUAUAAAAAAAUGAAACUAUGCACAAAUAAGAUAGAUGACAUACACUAAAAAAUGAAUAAAUAGAACAUUUACAAAUUAUAAAAAUAUAAUGCAAUAGUUCAAAAUACAUGAAAUGAUAAUAUAAUAUAUAUACAUGCAUAGAAAAUAUAUAUUUGAAAAUAAACUAUAUAAAAAGGUUAAAUAUUAUAAUAUAUAAAAUACAUAAUGAAAUGUAUAAAAGAUAGGAAUAAAUAUACAUAUUUGAAAAAUGAAGAAAUUAAAAUAAAAAAGGGUUGAAAAACUAAGAUAGAUGAAAAAUAAAAUAAGAACAAACCACAGAGAGUAAGAACGCAAGAGGGAGAGAAAUUUAAGUGAAUGCUCUCAAGAAUUCUUAUUGCUUCCCAAAACUCAAGUGAUUUACAAUGAAGGGAGAGACCUCUAUUUAUAGUUGAGCCUCCCAAAAUCCAACGGUACAGAUCAAUUACAUCAACGGUUAAGAUUAAAGGAUAUCUACAAAUUAAAUCUCCAAGAUUACAAGAUCAUAUCCUCAAGAUUGCAUAUCAUAUCUAAGAUUGUAUCAUAUCUAAUAUUGCAUAUCAUAUCUAAGAUUGCAUAUCCUUAAAGAUUAUAUUUCUAUAUGAGUCAAGCUCAUAGAUGGACCUUCAACCUUUUCAAGUAAUGGGUCAUUUUGAUUGGGCCAAAUUAUAUGUUUGUAAUUUUGUACUGGACUUGGACUUUGUUUUUUUUUUUUUGAACUUAUUUCUGGGCCCGGGCAAAAUUGAGUGUCUACAGGUGCCCGUCUUUACUCAUUGCUGUGUAGCAGGGAUAGAUCAAAGACUAUAAAAGGACCAAUUUUGCCCGGGCUCACCGAGUCUUGAGUUCUUGAUCCUUGAUCUUCUUUAAAUGGCCUCUUAACGGCUUCAAUCUGCUUCACUGCAACUCAGGAAGGCGAUAUCUGCUAUCUUUGAUCUGCUCCUCGUCUAAUACAGAGAAGCCAAAUCUGUUAUCUUCGAUCUUUUUUCCGACAAUAUAGAGGGCCAAAUCAUCUUAGAUCUGCUUCAGCGUAAACACGUAAAAGCCAAAUCUGCUAUAUCUUCGAUUUGCUCCUUAUGAACACAAAGAUGCCAAAUCAUCUUGGAUCUGCUUCAGUAAAAUCAUAUGAAGGUUAGAUCUGCUAUGUAUCUGCUCUCCGUCAAAAUGGAGAUGCCAGAUCUGUUAUCUUGGAUCUACUUUAGUGUGAGAACAUCCGAAAGCCAAAUCUACUAUGUCUUCGAUUUGCUCUCCGUCGAAUAUAGAGACGCCCGAUCUGCUAUCUUCGACUUGUUCCCUAUCAUUGCAGAGAUACCAAAUCAUCUUGGACCCUACUGCUUAGGGGGUUAAGGUGCAUCAUCUUUGAUCUGCUUCGCUACUGCUUAGGGAUAAGAUCUACAAAUUUAACCUCUUACCCUACUCUUAAGGGAUUAAGGUGGGUCUUCGAUCUGCUCCACUACUGCUUAGGGAGAUAAGAUCUGCAAAUUUAACCUGUUACCCUACUUCUUAGGGGAUUAAGGCGAGUCGUCGUCGAUCUGCUCCGCUACUACUUAGGGAGAUAAGAUCUACGAACCUGUUACCCUACUGCUUAGGGGAUUAAGGCGAUUCUUCGAUCUGCUCCACUACUGCUUAGGGAGAUAAGAUCUGCAAAUUUAACCUGUUACCCUACCGCUUAGGGGAUUAAGGCGAGUCUUCGAUCUGCUCCACUACUGCUUAGGGAGAUAAGAUCUGCAAAUUUAACAUGUUACCCUACUGCUUAGGGAAUUAAGGCGAGUCUUCGAUAUGCUCCACUACUGCUUAGGGAGAUAAGAUCUACAAAUUUAACCUGUUACCCUACUGCUUAGGGGAUUAAGGCUGGUAUUUGAUCUGCUCCACUACUGCUUAGGGAGAUAAGAUCUGCAAAUUUAACCUGUUACCCUACUGCUUAGGGGAUUAAGGUGAGUCUUCGAUCUGCUCCACUACUGCUUAGGGAGAUAAGAUCUGCAAAUUUAACCUGUUACCCUACUGCUUAGAGGAUUAAGGCGAGUUUUCGAUCUGCCCCACUACUGCUUAAGGAGAUAAGAUCUGCAAAUUUAACUUGUUACCCUACUGCUUAGGGGAUUAAGGCACUGAAUUUUGUAAUUUUCAAUCAACCUUGCUACAUUGUCCACUGGGGAAUCCACCUGUAGAAUUGAUUUCCUGGAAUUUAUGCUUAUGCCAAAUAAUUAAGAUGCCAUGAUCGAAAUGAGUCAAAUGUUCCUAAUUAGACAUAUUAUGAUGCAAAAUGUUUAUGAAAAUAACUCCUAUUUUGGACGUCAUGACUCAUUCAUCUAUCGAGCUUUCCACCUCGUUCUUCUCGACAUAUCAAUCAUACUCUGCUUGUAUGCCUCGAAUCUUCUCCAUCAAUUUGGUCUACCGUACCAUUCCCCGAAUGUUACGACCCACUGAAGAUGUUUAUAAAAUGAUCAUUUCUUAAGAUCAAUAUUGCUUAAAAUGUCUAACCACCUUUUAGACUGAAGAAGAAAAUCUCUCGAAUAUCUCCAACCCAUACAUAUGAGAAUUCCUUAAACAAUUGUCUUGUUUCAGUUUCUUGUAUUAUUUAGAAAUUUCCAGAGUAAUAUGCAAAACUUCGUUUGUGAAGAUAUUUUAGUUCAUCUAUCAUUAUUUCAAUGCAACAUGCUUUAUGAAUAAUGGGAGACAAAUAAAUUGAUCCUGAGGAUAAUUAGAUUUGGACAAAUUAUUGGAAGGAAUGCAAAAAGAUUAACCUGAGAACAUAUCUUUGCGAAGAAAAAGAAUCCAAAGAUAGUAAAUAGGACAGAAAUCAGAUGCCCUAGAUAUCGCCGUUUGAGCGUCUAUACACCAGCUCUAUGAAGACUUUCUUGAGUUCAACAUGUGUUUAAAAGAUCAAAAGUAAUUCGUUGAUACCUCGAUAUGUAAUAUACUUCACUUCUCGUCGAAUCCGGUAUAACAAGGUCACUGCAUGACUUUCUAAAUUUGAGCUGCCCUUUCGGGUUUUCAACUCAAAACCCCUUUGGUCUCAAGGUGCCCUUUGCGGGUUUUCACCUUGGCCUCUCCAUUUUUUUUCUUUUUUCUUUUUUUUCUCUUUUUCUUUUCUUUUUUCCUUUUUUUGAAAUAGAAGUCCUAAAGUGCCCUUUGCGGGUUUUCACCUUGGCUUCCCUUCUCCUUCAGACAAAGUACUCAUUGACCGAGUCCGAAUUCACUGGAUCAGAUAAAUUCUUCCUAUCCAUUUCUUGUCAAAAUCAAUGCACCUCUAGAGAAAGCCCUCUUCGCAACAUAUGGCCCUUCCCAAUUUGGCAUCCUUUUGCAUGGGAAGGAUCUCUUUUAGCACAAGGUUUCCUUUUUGAAAUUCUUUUGGACGAACCUUCUUUGUCAUAAGUCUAUGUCAUCUAUUCUUGGUACAUUUGCUUAGGAUGAAUACUUUCAAGUUAAGUUUACUAGAGGUAUUCAAUUCUUGACUCCAUCAAAGCUUAGAGGAAAAAUCUUGAUUCAUAAACCCAUGAGAAAGGGAUUGCCCUAGCAGCAGUCCUGGCUGUUGUUUUUCAAACCCUACAAAAAGAUGGUUCAAUGAUUCUCAGCAGAAAAGAAUGAAUUGCUGACUUUAUCCUUCAACCUGGAAAGCUGAGGUACAGGGAUUACUCCCGGAACAUACAUCCCACCAUGACUCGAUGAUGUUUCUGAAGCAUCCCUAAUCUUCAUAAAUUGCCCCCAACUGUGAAGCUGCCAAAUGAGCCUAGCAAAUAGGAGCCACAACAAAUAUGGCUGUGGUGCUCCUUUGAUACAUAUAGGAUAAAGAAUGAACAAACUAUUGCAGAUCAUUAGCUGAAAACCCAGCCUAGUCUAAGAGAACGUGAUAGUGGGUCUGCCUCGUGAUUCCAAUCAUUCCAGCAUGGGUACCAAGGUAAAAAUCAUUGUUCUUUGGAUGACAUACUUUGUUGUCAAUGACAGUACCAUGUAGCACAUUCGAAUAGUCAGUAUGUAAAUUUCUUUUUGAUAUCUGUCGAAACCAUUUUUAAAUCGAGUUUUGGAAAAUGAGAAUCAACUUUAAGAAAAACGAAAAUGGGAGUCGCCACCAAUCUUUUUAGGUGUGAUUGGAUCACCUUAUAAAAUGUUUUGUUUUAAAACAUUAAUUUUGGUCUACGAAAGUCGAGAAAAUGGAUUUGGGAGUCGGUUACGUACGAGGAAGGGUUAGCACCCUCGUAACGCCCAAAAAUUGGUACCUAAUUGAUUAUCAAGUGUCUUUAAUGUCAGAAAUUUGAAAGUUUUAAGAUGCAAACCUUUUUUAAUUAGAAUGUCUCAAUUUUGAAAAUUAAGGCUCACUUAUUUUAAAUGAGUCAAAACAUCACAUCUAGUAAGUUAGGACGCAACAUUUUAAAACCUUCGAAACUAAGCUCGUCUUUCGAAAUUUCUAUCUCGAAACAACAAAACGCCAUAUCCAGUAAGUUAGGACACUAUGUUUUGAAAUCUCGAAAUAAUUGUUUAAGUUUUGAAAACUCAAAAUCACUUAGAAGGGUGCUUGACUAUUCGAAUUCAACGAGAAAAGUCGCAACCUAGUAAGUUAGGGCACUACUUUUCUCGAAGUUUUCAAACAUCAAGCAUUGCCUUUUAUUUUUUAUUUUUAAAAAACCUUGGAAUAUUAUUUUAAAUGACGUUUUAGGAUGACAUAUUAAUGCAUCAUGAAGCAUAGAUGUACAAAAUAUUCUAACAUUUCCAUACAAACAUAAAUAAUAUCAUUAAGACAAAACUAAAUAACAUGAACAUACGUUUAAUGAAAAAAAUCAUACUAGGGUAAAUAUAAGAUAAUAAACAAAUAAAAAUAUGAGUAAACUAAAAGAAAAACAUAAUACAUGCAAAAAUUAUACAACAAUAUAUAUCAUAAAAUAGCAUAUAAAAGAAAUAAUUAAACAUAGCAUAUAAAAAAAUGAAACUAUGCACAAAUAAGAUAGAUGACAUACACUAAAAAAUGAAUAAAUAGAACAUUUACAAAUUAUAAAAAUAUAAUGCAAUAGUUCAAAAUACAUGAAAUGAUAAUAUGAUAUAUAUACAUGCAUAGAAAAUAUAUAUUUGAAAAUAAACUAUAUAAAAAGGUUAAAUAUUAUAAUAUAUAAAAUACAUAAUGAAAUGUAUAAAAGAUAGGAAUAAAUAUACAUAUUUGAAAAAUGAAGAAAUUAAAAUAAAAAAAAGGGUUGAAACACUAAGAUAGACGAAAAAUAAAAUAAGAACAAACCACAGAGAGUAAGAACGCAAGAGGGAGAGAAAUUUGAGUGAAUGCUCUCAAGAAUUCUUAUUGCUUCCCAAAACUCAAGUGAUUUACAAUGAAGGGAGAGGCCUCUAUUUAUAGUUGAGUCUCCCCAAAUCCAACGGUACAGAUCAAUUACAUCAACGGUUAAGAUUAAAGGAUAUCUACAAAUUAAAUCUCCAAGAUUACAAUAUCAUAUCUUCAAGAUUGCAUAUCAUAUCUAAGAUUGCAUAUCCUUAAAGAUUAUAUUUCUAUAUUAGUCAAGCUCAUAGAUGGACCUUCAAUCUUUUCAAGUAAUGGGCCAUUUUGAUUGGGCCAAAUUAUAUGUUUGUAAUUUUGUACUGGACUUGGACUUUGUUUUUUUUUUUUUGAACUUAUUUCUGGGCUUGGGCAAAAUUGAGUGUCUACAAUAUCGAAUUUGAGUUCUAAAUUCUUGUUAUAUCGUUCUAUUUUUUAAAUACGUGGCAUCUCGAGAAUUUAUUUUAGAAAGACCAAUGGAUGGUUCUCCACUCCAUAUCACUCGGCUGGUCAUUAAGUAACCAGCCACCUGUGCACUCCACUAGUUAUCAGGUCACUCACUUCUAGCGAGAACUACUUACCACCAAGAGAGAAUCACUACGGACCACCGAAGCAUAACAAUCUCAUAUUACCUAUGUUAGACCAGUAUCACACUUGAAGGCAACUGACCAGCCACUUGGUCGAUCACACGAUAUGGUUACCACUUGUACUGUCGAUGAAGUAACGCCACCAAGCAAGAGACCCUUCCCCUGUAAAUACCUUGAAGAACAAUGAAGAAGAGAAAUUUUACCACACGAGAUGGUCUCUUUUGUCUUCACAACCACCUUACUCCUUUUUCACUCCUCUCCUGUUUUGGCUCUCUACUUAUUUAGGUGAACCGACCUUUUUGUCCCUACCACCUUCUGCUCCUUAUUGUAUCAAGAAUUCUUAAGAGAGUUAAUAUGUGAUUUUACCAUUGUAUUAAUAUAAAAUUUUACAAAUUUUUGAGGGAUUAAUUUUAAAUUUUAAAGAAUCAAAAUAAAAUUUUACCGUUCAAUUAAUUUAAAAUUUUAUAAAUUUUUAAGAGAUCGAGAAAACAAUUUUCCAUUUUGAAAGGUGGCAAAAGCACUUGUUGGUCACAAAGAUCAAGAUUUAACCGCUCAAGUGAUAAAACAAGAAUCAAGGUGUUGCCCCCAAAAUGAUACAAUUGCAAUUAGAUCUCUUCAAAAAAUAUAAUUUUAAAAAUUAAUAUAAUAGUAAAAUAAAAAUGGGUAACUCCCUAUCCAACAAUAAAAUUAUUUGACUACGUAGUUUAGAGUGCGACAUGAAACGAUUUUCACUUUUGUAUUCGAGUCCUGAGUGGCACAAUUUUCACCAGCUACUUCAAAACCUUUUAUAUAUUUUGAUUCAAGAAGGUUAUUUCCUUAUAAGACUUUUGACAGGUAUAAAUAAAUAUCAUAUAAUAUAAACACACAAAAAAAUAGUUUGGAAAAAACAAGAUAAUUAAUAUAAUGAUAUUCGAUCACUAGCUUUAUUCCCCCAGUAAUUCUUCACGGAAUUGAAUUACAACAAUUAUUGAUAUAUAUUUUUCAGUAUUGAAAUUUGUAUUCUACUGUCGAUCUGGUUUAGUAAUGGUACAAAGUAACAUUGCACUCAAGAAUAACAUCCCCUGUCGUCAAAUUUGCAAAAUUGAUUUGAGUUAGAGCAAACCCUUGGGCCAUUCUAAACGCACCUCUCCCUCCCACAAUAGCCAAUUCACGAAUUGCAUCUGAAGAUGAACUCCUUGAGAUUAAACUAAAAGAGCUCCCAUUGAACCUGCCACUCGUAAAUGCGAAAUCAGCGUACAUAACUGUAGUAAACACAGCAGGGUCUCGACUGGAUGAUACAUAGAGUCCUUGAGCGUUUCCAAUCAACGUUGAUGUUAGUGCAGGCCCUACGGUAAGGGGGUCAUUAAUUGCAAACAAUGUGCCAAACCCGAAUGAGGAUGGUUGCGUGAUGUUGGGACGGGCUAUGACGACUGCACUGGGGUUUUCACCACUGACGGUAUCAU
This 26620-nucleotide long non-coding RNA is filed under the name Gossypium barbadense (sea-island cotton). RNAcentral's name for it is "long non-coding RNA (GBAR_LNC000821)". Lineage: Eukaryota; Viridiplantae; Streptophyta; Magnoliopsida; Malvales; Malvaceae. The record is from RNAcentral.